AAGAUGUAACGGGGCUAAACCAUGCACCGAAGCUGCGGCAGCGAUGCUUAUGCGUUGUUGGGUAGGGGAGCGUUCUGUAAGCCUGCGAAGGUGUGCUGUGAGGCAUGCUGGAGGUAUCAGAAGUGCGAAUGCUGACAUAAGUAACGAUAAAGCGGGUGAAAAGCCCGCUCGCCGGAAGACCAAGGGUUCCUGUCCAACGUUAAUCGGGGCAGGGUGAGUCGACCCCUAAGGCGAGGCCGAAAGGCGUAGUCGAUGGGAAACAGGUUAAUAUUCCUGUACUUGGUGUUACUGCGAAGGGGGGACGGAGAAGGCUAUGUUGGCCGGGCGACGGUUGUCCCGGUUUAAGCGUGUAGGCUGGUUUUCCAGGCAAAUCCGGAAAAUCAAGGCUGAGGCGUGAUGACGAGGCACUACGGUGCUGAAGCAACAAAUGCCCUGCUUCCAGGAAAAGCCUCUAAGCAUCAGGUAACAUCAAAUCGUACCCCAAACCGACACAGGUGGUCAGGUAGAGAAUACCAAGGCGCUUGAGAGAACUCGGGUGAAGGAACUAGGCAAAAUGGUGCCGUAACUUCGGGAGAAGGCACGCUGAUAUGUAGGUGAAGUCCCUUGCGGAUGGAGCUGAAAUCAGUCGAAGAUACCAGCUGGCUGCAACUGUUUAUUAAAAACACAGCACUGUGCAAACACGAAAGUGGACGUAUACGGUGUGACGCCUGCCCGGUGCCGGAAGGUUAAUUGAUGGGGUCAGCGCAAGCGAAGCUCUUGAUCGAAGCCCCGGUAAACGGCGGCCGUAACUAUAACGGUCCUAAGGUAGCGAAAUUCCUUGUCGGGUAAGUUCCGACCUGCACGAAUGGCGUAAUGAUGGCCAGGCUGUCUCCACCCGAGACUCAGUGAAAUUGAACUCGCUGUGAAGAUGCAGUGUACCCGCGGCAAGACGGAAAGACCCCGUGAACCUUUACUAUAGCUUGACACUGAACAUUGAGCCUUGAUGUGUAGGAUAGGUGGGAGGCUUUGAAGUGUGGACGCCAGUCUGCAUGGAGCCGGCCUUGAAAUACCACCCUUUAAUGUUUGAUGUUCUAACGUGGACCCGUGAUCCGGGUUGCGGACAGUGUCUGGUGGGUAGUUUGACUGGGGCGGUCUCCUCCUAAAGAGUAACGGAGGAGCACGAAGGUUGGCUAAUCCUGGUCGGACAUCAGGAGGUUAGUGCAAUGGCAUAAGCCAGCUUGACUGCGAGCGUGACGGCGCGAGCAGGUGCGAAAGCAGGUCAUAGUGAUCCGGUGGUUCUGAAUGGAAGGGCCAUCGCUCAACGGAUAAAAGGUACUCCGGGGAUAACAGGCUGAUACCGCCCAAGAGUUCAUAUCGACGGCGGUGUUUGGCACCUCGAUGUCGGCUCAUCACAUCCUGGGGCUGAAGUAGGUCCCAAGGGUAUGGCUGUUCGCCAUUUAAAGUGGUACGCGAGCUGGGUUUAGAACGUCGUGAGACAGUUCGGUCCCUAUCUGCCGUGGGCGCUGGAGAACUGAGGGGGGCUGCUCCUAGUACGAGAGGACCGGAGUGGACGCAUCACUGGUGUUCGGGUUGUCAUGCCAAUGGCACUGCCCGGUAGCUAAAUGCGGAAGAGAUAAGUGCUGAAAGCAUCUAAGCACGAAACUUGCCCCGAGAUGAGUUCUCCCUGACCCUUUAAGGGUCCUGAAGGAACGUUGAAGACGACGACGUUGAUAGGCCGGGUGUGUAAGCGCAGCGAUGCGUUGAGCUAACCGGUACUAAUGAACCGUGAGG
This 1770-nucleotide ribosomal RNA is filed under the name Shigella sonnei. RNAcentral's name for it is "partial 23S ribosomal RNA". It matches the Rfam family "Bacterial large subunit ribosomal RNA", at positions 1167 to 2915 of the family's 2925-position model. The record is from RNAcentral. Lineage: Bacteria; Pseudomonadati; Pseudomonadota; Gammaproteobacteria; Enterobacterales; Enterobacteriaceae.